AGUCGAGGGGCAGCAUGGACCCAGCUUUGCUGGGUUUGAUGGCGACCGGCGCACGGGUGAGUAACGCGUAUCCAACCUGCCCUUUACUCCGGGAUAGUCUCCUGAAAGGGAGUUUAAUACCGGAUGUGUUUGUCUUUCCGCAUGGGAGCGACAAAUAAAGAUUAAUUGGUAAAGGAUGGGGAUGCGUCCCAUUAGCUUGUUGGCGGGGUAACGGCCCACCAAGGCGACGAUGGGUAGGGGUUCUGAGAGGAAGGUCCCCCACAUUGGAACUGAGACACGGUCCAAACUCCUACGGGAGGCAGCAGUGAGGAAUAUUGGUCAAUGGGCGGGAGCCUGAACCAGCCAAGUAGCGUGAAGGACGACGGCCCUACGGGUUGUAAACUUCUUUUAUAAGGGAAUAAAGUUCGCCACGUGUGGUGUUUUGUAUGUACCUUAUGAAUAAGCAUCGGCUAAUUCCGUGCCAGCAGCCGCGGUAAUACGGAAGAUGCGAGCGUUAUCCGGAUUUAUUGGGUUUAAAGGGAGCGUAGGCGGGCUUUUAAGUCAGCGGUCAAAUGUCGUGGCUCAACCAUGUCAAGCCGUUGAAACUGUAAGCCUUGAGUCUGCACAGGGCACAUGGAAUUCGUGGUGUAGCGGUGAAAUGCUUAGAUAUCACGAAGAACUCCGAUCGCGAAGGCAUUGUGCCGGGGCAUAACUGACGCUGAGGCUCGAAAGUGCGGGUAUCAAACAGG
Molecule: ribosomal RNA, 728 nt
Filed under: uncultured Bacteroidales bacterium
Lineage: Bacteria; Pseudomonadati; Bacteroidota; Bacteroidia; Bacteroidales
Description: bacterial SSU rRNA
Rfam family: Bacterial small subunit ribosomal RNA
Source: RNAcentral